GAGGGUAUAGCUCAGUGGUAUGGUAGAGCAUGUGCUUAGCAUACAUGAGUUUCUGGGUUCAAUCCCCAGUACCUCUA
This 77-nucleotide transfer RNA is filed under the name Camelus bactrianus (Bactrian camel). It matches the Rfam family "tRNA". From Rfam's summary of the family: Transfer RNA (tRNA) molecules are approximately 80 nucleotides in length. RNAcentral also lists the same sequence under 2 other names. The record is from Rfam by way of RNAcentral. Lineage: Eukaryota; Metazoa; Chordata; Mammalia; Artiodactyla; Camelidae.